AGGACGAACGCUGGCGGCGUGCUUAACACAUGCAAGUCGAGCGGAAAGGCCCUUCGGGGUACUCGAGCGGCGAACGGGUGAGUAACACGUGAGCAACCUGCCCUUAGCUUCGGGAUAGCUCCGGGAAACCGGAAUUAAUACCGGAUAUGACUAUGGCCGACAUCAGCCAUGGUGGAAAGUUUUUCGGCUAGGGAUGGACUCGCGGCCUAUCAGCUAGUUGGUGAGGUAACGGCUCACCAAGGCGACGACGGGUAGCCGGCCUGAGAGGGCGACCGGCCACACUGGGACUGAGACACGGCCCAGACUCCUACGGGAGGCAGCAGUGGGGAAUAUUGCGCAAUGGGCGAAAGCCUGACGCAGCGACGCCGCGUGGGGAUGAAUGCCUUCGGGUUGUAAACCCCUUUCAGCAGGGACGAAGCGAAAGUGACGGUACCUGCAGAAGAAGCGCCGGCUAACUACGUGACAGCAGCCGC
Molecule: ribosomal RNA, 473 nt
Filed under: uncultured bacterium
Lineage: Bacteria
Description: SSU rRNA
Rfam family: Bacterial small subunit ribosomal RNA
Source: RNAcentral